CACAAAGUGCAAAGCCUGCCACAGUUUGUCUUCAGCCACAACUACUCUGAGCUCGUUCACCUGGAUCCGUGCUGCCUAAAGAGCCUGCUGCUGUGUGGAGCACCAUCAAGUACCUGCUAGCAGCGGAAGCUGAGGACCAGAACAAAGCUACAGACCAGCAGCACUUCAAUUUCCUUGUUACUGCCUCAGCAACCUGAAAAGAAGCAAGGAACAAAAUCAACUUCCUGGGUCAUGCAGCAAGGAACAUAAUCUGCUUCGUCAUGCAGCUUGCAGUACUCGGUGCCAUAAACAACUCUACUUGCGCACUGGUCCAGGCAUGG
Molecule: long non-coding RNA, 320 nt
Organism: Syngnathus acus (greater pipefish)
Lineage: Eukaryota; Metazoa; Chordata; Actinopteri; Syngnathiformes; Syngnathidae
Exons: 4
Source: RefSeq, a predicted model, not a curated record